UGCAAGUCGAGCGGUAGAGAGGUGCUUGCACCUCUUGAGAGCGGCGGACGGGUGAGUAAUACCUAGGAAUCUGCCUGAUAGUGGGGGAUAACGUUCGGAAACGGACGCUAAUACCGCAUACGUCCUACGGGAGAAAGCAGGGGACCUUCGGGCCUUGCGCUAUCAGAUGAGCCUAGGUCGGAUUAGCUAGUUGGUGAGGUAAUGGCUCACCAAGGCUACGAUCCGUAACUGGUCUGAGAGGAUGAUCAGUCACACUGGAACUGAGACACGGUCCAGACUCCUACGGGAGGCAGCAGUGGGGAAUAUUGGACAAUGGGCGAAAGCCUGAUCCAGCCAUGCCGCGUGUGUGAAGAAGGUCUUCGGAUUGUAAAGCACUUUAAGUUGGGAGGAAGGGCAUUAACCUAAUACGUUAGUGUUUUGACGUUACCGACAGAAUAAGCACCGGCUAACUCUGUGCCAGCAGCCGCGGUAAUACAGAGGGUGCAAGCGUUAAUCGGAAUUACUGGGCGUAAAGCGCGCGUAGGUGGUUUGUUAAGUUG
This 539-nucleotide ribosomal RNA is filed under the name uncultured Pseudomonas sp. RNAcentral's name for it is "bacterial SSU rRNA". It matches the Rfam family "Bacterial small subunit ribosomal RNA", at positions 56 to 590 of the family's 1533-position model. The record is from RNAcentral. Lineage: Bacteria; Pseudomonadati; Pseudomonadota; Gammaproteobacteria; Pseudomonadales; Pseudomonadaceae.